Molecule: ribosomal RNA, 503 nt
Filed under: uncultured bacterium
Lineage: Bacteria
Description: partial 16S ribosomal RNA
Rfam family: Bacterial small subunit ribosomal RNA
Source: RNAcentral
AUUGAACGCUGGCGGAAGGCUUAACACAUGCAAGUCGAGCGGGGUGAUGGUGCUUGCACUAUCACUUAGCGGCGGACGGGUGAGUAAUGCUUAGGAAUCUGCCUAUUAGUGGGGGACAACAUCUCGAAAGGGAUGCUAAUACCGCAUACGUCCUACGGGAGAAAGCAGGGGAUCACUUGUGACCUUGCGCUAAUAGAUGAGCCUAAGUCGGAUUAGCUAGUUGGUGGGGUAAAGGCCUACCAAGGCGACGAUCUGUAGCGGGUCUGAGAGGAUGAGCCGCCACACUGGGAGUGGGACACGGCCCAGACUCCUACGGGAGGCAGCAGUGGGGAAUAUUGGACAAUGGGGGGAACCCUGAUCCAGCCAUGCCGCGUGUGUGAAGAAGGCCUUAUGGUUGUAAAGCACUUUAAGCGAGGAGGAGGCUCUCUUGGUUAAUACCCAAGAUGAGUGGACGUUACUCGCAGAAUAAGCACCGGCUAACUCUGUGCCAGCAGCCGCAGUAA